Molecule: ribosomal RNA, 87 nt
Filed under: Weeksellaceae bacterium
Lineage: Bacteria; Pseudomonadati; Bacteroidota; Flavobacteriia; Flavobacteriales; Weeksellaceae
Description: partial 16S ribosomal RNA
Rfam family: Bacterial small subunit ribosomal RNA
Source: RNAcentral
ACAAUGGAGAGUUUGAUCCUGGCUCAGGAUGAACGCUAGCGGGAGGCUUAACACAUGCAAGCCGAGGGGUAUUUGUAGCUUGCUACA